Non-coding RNA from Ceratotherium simum simum (southern white rhinoceros), 381 nucleotides. Lineage: Eukaryota; Metazoa; Chordata; Mammalia; Perissodactyla; Rhinocerotidae. The record is from the annotation of a RefSeq genome assembly.
AUGAACUCUGCUGCAGGCUUAGUGACUGUGGUACUCUUAAUGCUUGGACAAACCUACGGAGACUCAGUGACCCAGAUGGAAGGCCAAGUGACGCUCUCAGAAGGGGCUUCGCUGAGUAUGAACUGUACUUAUUCAACCACAGGGUACCCUACUCUUUUCCGGUAUGUUCAGUAUCCUGGAAAAGGUCCACAGCUCCUCCUGAGAGCCACGAAGGCCAACAAGAAGCAAAGCAACAAAGGUUUUGAAGCCACAUACAAUAAAGAAACCUCCUCCUUCCACUUGGAGAAAGACUCUAUCCAAGAGUCAGACUCCGCUGUGUACUACUGUGCUCUGAGUGACACAGUGACAGGAGCUGCAGGGGGAGGUGAGCCAAAAUCUUGA